CCUACGGGGCGCUGCAGUGAGGAAUAUUGGUCAAUGGACGAGAGUCUGAACCAGCCAAGUAGCGUGAAGGAUGACUGCCCUAUGGGUUGUAAACUUCUUUUAUAUGGGAAUAAAAUGUUCCACGUGUGGGAUUUUGUAUGUACUAUAUGAAUAAGGAUCGGCUAACUCCGUGCCAGCAGCCGCGGUAAUACGGAGGAUCCGAGCGUUAUCCGGAUUUAUUGGGUUUAAAGGGAGCGUAGGUGGAUUGUUAAGUCAGUUGUGAAAGUUUGCGGCUCAACCGUAAAAUUGCAGUUGAAACUGGCAGUCUUGAGUACAGUAGAGGUGGGCGGAAUUCGUGGUGUAGCGGUGAAAUGCUUAGAUAUCACGAAGAACUCCGAUUGCGAAGGCAGUUCACUGGACUGCAACUGACACUGAGGCUCGAAAGUGUGGGUAUCAAACAGGAUUAGAUACCCUUGUAGUC
This 460-nucleotide ribosomal RNA is filed under the name uncultured bacterium. RNAcentral describes it as "partial 16S ribosomal RNA". It matches the Rfam family "Bacterial small subunit ribosomal RNA", at positions 338 to 795 of the family's 1533-position model. The record is from RNAcentral.